UCAAGUUUUGAAAUAGUAUAAAUAUGAGUUUGACGGAUUGUAAAUAUAUUCACAAACUUUAAUUAGAUUUUUGAUUCAAUCGUGUUUUGAUUUCUUAGUUUUGUUUGCUUUUUCAAAGAUAUUUUUUAUUCCCAAUAUUAAACUAGUAAUGUAUUGAUUAAUUAGCUACAAAGGGGGUGACUGGCAUUAGAUUAUGAGAGUUGAAUUUUACCACA
This 215-nucleotide long non-coding RNA is filed under the name Brassica napus (rape). RNAcentral's name for it is "long non-coding RNA (BNAP_LNC005971)". Lineage: Eukaryota; Viridiplantae; Streptophyta; Magnoliopsida; Brassicales; Brassicaceae. The record is from RNAcentral.